UACGAAGGGGGCUAGCGUUGCUCGGAUUUACUGGGCGUAAAGCGCACGUAGGCGGAUUGUUAAGUCGGGGGUGAAAUCCUGGAGCUCAACUCCAGAACUGCCUUCGAUACUGACGAUCUCGAGUCCGGGAGAGGUGAGUGGAACUCCGAGUGUAGAGGUGAAAUUCGUAGAUAUUCGGAAGAACACCAGUGGCGAAGGCGGCUCACUGGCCCGGUACUGACGCUGAGGUGCGAAAGCGUGGGGAGCAAACAGG
This 253-nucleotide ribosomal RNA is filed under the name uncultured bacterium. RNAcentral's name for it is "partial 16S ribosomal RNA". It matches the Rfam family "Bacterial small subunit ribosomal RNA", at positions 524 to 776 of the family's 1533-position model. The record is from RNAcentral.